This 75-nucleotide transfer RNA is filed under the name Euplotes vanleeuwenhoeki. RNAcentral describes it as "tRNA-His". It matches the Rfam family "tRNA". From Rfam's summary of the family: Transfer RNA (tRNA) molecules are approximately 80 nucleotides in length. Lineage: Eukaryota; Ciliophora; Spirotrichea; Euplotida; Euplotidae. The record is from RNAcentral.
GGUAAAUAUAGUUUAAUUGGUAAAACUCUGGAUUGUGGCUCCAGAUGAUGAAAGUUCGAAUCUUUCUGUUUACCU